RNAcentral lists this ribosomal RNA (746 nucleotides) under uncultured Bacilli bacterium. RNAcentral describes it as "bacterial SSU rRNA". It matches the Rfam family "Bacterial small subunit ribosomal RNA", at positions 28 to 756 of the family's 1533-position model. Lineage: Bacteria; Bacillati; Bacillota; Bacilli. The record is from RNAcentral.
GACGAACGCUGGCGGCGUGCCUAAUACAUGCAGUCGAGCGGACCGACGGGAGCUUGCUCCCUUAGGUCAGCGGCGGACGGGUGAGUAACACGUGGGUAACCUGCCUGUAAGACUGGGAUAACUCCGGGAAACCGGGGCUAAUACCGGAUGCUUGAUUGAACCGCAUGGUUCAAUCAUAAAAGGUGGCUUUUAGCUACCACUUGCAGAUGGACCCGCGGCGCAUUAGCUAGUUGGUGAGGUAACGGCUCACCAAGGCGACGAUGCGUAGCCGACCUGAGAGGGUGAUCGGCCACACUGGGACUGAGACACGGCCCAGACUCCUACGGGAGGCAGCAGUAGGGAAUCUUCCGCAAUGGACGAAAGUCUGACGGAGCAACGCCGCGUGAGUGAUGAAGGUUUUCGGAUCGUAAAACUCUGUUGUUAGGGAGGAACAAGUACCGUUCGAAUAGGGCGGUACCUUGACGGUACCUAACCAGAAAGCCACGGCUAACUACGUGCCAGCAGCCGCGGUAAUACGUAGGUGGCAAGCGUUGUCCGGAAUUAUUGGGCGUAAAGCGCGCGCAGGCGGUUUCUUAAGUCUGAUGUGAAAGCCCCCGGCUCAACCGGGGAGGGUCAUUGGAAACUGGGGAACUUGAGUGCAGAAGAGGAGAGUGGAAUUCCACGUGUAGCGGUGAAAUGCGUAGAGAUGUGGAGGAACACCAGUGGCGAAGGCGACUCUCUGGUCUGUAACUGACGCUGAGGCGCGA